RNAcentral lists this long non-coding RNA (1864 nucleotides) under Apteryx haastii (Great spotted kiwi). Its description in RNAcentral is "lncRNA (ENSAHAG00000009689.1)". The record is from RNAcentral. Lineage: Eukaryota; Metazoa; Chordata; Aves; Apterygiformes; Apterygidae.
AUGCUGGCUGUGGCAUGUCCCAGGCGUGUCCCUAUCCGUGUCCAUGUGUGUUCCCAUGCUGGCUGUGGCGUGUCCCAGGCGUGUCCUUAUCCAUGUCCAUGCACGUCCCCAUGCUGGCUGUGGCGUGUCCCUAUCCACGUCCAUGCGUGUCCCCAUGCUGGUUUUGGCGUGUCUCAGGCGCAUUCCUGCAGUGGCUGUAGCAUGUCCCAGGCAUGUCCCUAUCCAUGUCCAUGCGUGUCCCCAUGCUGGCUGUGGCGUGUCCAUGCAAUGGCUGUGGCAUGUCCCUAUCCAUGUCCAUGCAUGUCCCCAUGCUGGCUGUGGCGUGUCCAAGGCGUGUCCCCAUCCAUGUCCCCACGGUGGCCAUGGCGUGUCCCUAGCCAUGUCCUUCCAUGGCCCGCCAUGGUGGUGGCCGUGUCCCCAGGAUGCUGGUGGCCGCAGCCCCGUCCUUGCAUGUCCCCCGCGGCAGCGUUGGCGUGUCCCAGUCCAUGUUCUUGCGUGUCCCCCGCAGUAGCGUUGGCGUGUCCUUGGCGUGUCCCCCGUGGUGGCCGUGUCCCCGCAGUAGCCGCAUUCCCAGGGGUCAUGAUGACCCCACGGUGGCCGUGUCCCCAUGUCAGCCAUGUCCUCAUGUCCCCCGGGUCCCCAUGGUCCCCAUGUCCCCAAAUCCCCAUCCCCUGGUCCCCAUGUCCCCAUCUCCCAGCAUUCCCAUGGUGGCCAUGUCCCCCCCGUGUCACCAUCCCCUUGGGUCCCCAUGGUGGCCAUGCCCCAGUGGCCACGUCCCCCUGUGUCCUCAUGUCCUACUGUCCCCACGGUGGCCAAGUCCUGGAGGCCCUGUCCCCCCAUGUCCCCAAUGUCCCCAUGUCCUAGUGCCCCUGUCCCCAUGUCUCCAAGUCCUGGUGUCCCCCUGGGCCCCAGGUCACCAUCCCCCCGUGUCCUCAUGGUGGCCAUGUCCCCAAGGUGGCUGCGUCCCCCCAUUCCCCCCCCGCAUCCCCCCAAUGUCCCCACGUCCCCAUGUCCGUCAGUGGCGCAGGGCCGCGUACUCCACGGUGUCCUCGGCGUCCCCGGUGUCCCCGUGGCGUCCCCGCGGUGUCCCCGGGGGGGACAGGGCCAGGGCGGCGUAGAGCAGGGUCCCUUCCUCAUCCCCGUGUCCGGGGGGGACGUUCUCAUAGUCGGGACCCUCAGGGGCCUGCGGGGACACGGGUGGCAUGGGAGGGGGACACGGGCACAGGACAUAGGGAUGGGGAUGGGACAUGGGGAUGGGGACAGAGAUGGGACACGGGGAUGGGGACAGAGAUGGGACACAAGGAUGGAGAUGGGACAUAGGGAUGGUGAUGGGACACAAGGACAUGGGGACACAGGGAUGAGGGGUGGGACACGGGGACAGUGAUGGGACACGAGGACAGUGAUGGGACACGAGGACAGUGAUGGGACGUAGGAAUGGUAAUGGGAGAUGGAGAUGGGGCACAGGACAUAGGGACGGUGAUGGGACAUGGGGACAGGGAUGGAGGAUGGGGACACGGGACAUGGGGACAAGACAUAGGGAUGGUGAUGGGACACAAGGACAUGGGGACACAGGGAUGAGGGGUGGGACAUGGGGACAGUGGACAGGACUUAGGGAUGGUAAUGGGACACAGGGACAUAGGGACAGGGAUGGAGGAUGGUGAUGGUGGUGGGACAUGGGGACACGGGACAUGGGGACACGACAGAGAUGGUGAUGGGACACAGGGAUGGGACAUGGGGACACAGGGAUGGGACACACAGACAUGGGGACACGGUGAUAGGACACAGGGAUGGUGAUAGGACAUGGGAAUCGGGGAUGACAGGGGGACGUGGAGGGACACGGGGGACACGGAGGGACACGGGGGGA